UUCCUACGGGACGCAGCAGUCGGGAAUAUUGCACAAUGGAGGAAACUCUGAUGCAGUGACGCCGCGUGCAGGAAGAAGGUUUUCGGAUUGUAAACUGCUUUAGAUGGGGAAGAAGAAAGACUGUACCCAUAGAAUAAGCUCCGGCUAACUACGUGCCAGCAGCCGCGGUAAUACGUAGGGAGCAAGCGUUAUCCGGAUUUACUGGGUGUAAAGGGAGCGUAGACGGAGGAGCAAGUCUGAUGUGAAAAUCCGGGGCCCAACCCCGGAACUGCAUUGGAAACUGUUUAUCUAGAGUGUCGGAGAGG
RNAcentral lists this ribosomal RNA (305 nucleotides) under uncultured bacterium. RNAcentral's name for it is "bacterial SSU rRNA". It matches the Rfam family "Bacterial small subunit ribosomal RNA", at positions 336 to 657 of the family's 1533-position model. The record is from RNAcentral.